UAACCAUCCAGAGCGGCUGAGAGACCUGGCUCCGUGACGCCGCAGCAACCCUUCUUCCGCGGGCAUACCCGCCGAAGAAGGGUGCUACCGCCAGGACCGAUGGAGA
Molecule: non-coding RNA, 106 nt
Filed under: Arthrobacter sp.
Lineage: Bacteria; Bacillati; Actinomycetota; Actinomycetes; Micrococcales; Micrococcaceae
Also listed under: 1 other name
Description: SAM-I sequence
Rfam family: SAM riboswitch aptamer (S box leader)
About the family: The SAM riboswitch is found upstream of a number of genes which code for proteins involved in methionine or cysteine biosynthesis in Gram-positive bacteria. The SAM riboswitch acts at the level of transcription termination control.
Source: RNAcentral